GAUUUCUGGUAUGGCGCGCCCGUCCCACGGUUGCAAAACCGCGAGUGAUGGUGUGCGCCUGCCAUCUUUUAUAGUGUACCGAACGCACUUAACUGGGCGGCUCGGCGUACUAUAUCUUUUACUUUGAAAAAAUUAGAGUGUUUAAAGCAGGCUUGCGCUAUGAAUACAUUAGCAUGGAAUAAUAAUUUAGGACUUGGCUCCUAUUUUGUUGGUUUCUAGGAGUGAAGUAAUGAUUGAUAGGGAUAGUUGGGGGUGCUAGUAUUCAUCGGCCAGAGGUGAAAUUCUUGGAUUCGAUGAAGACUAACUAAUGCGAAAGCAUU
Molecule: ribosomal RNA, 320 nt
Filed under: uncultured Paracercomonas
Lineage: Eukaryota; Cercozoa; Cercomonadida; Cercomonadidae
Description: SSU rRNA
Rfam family: Eukaryotic small subunit ribosomal RNA (bases 101-320)
Source: RNAcentral